CCUCUGCCUUGUGGGAUCCAAAAACAAAGUUCUGUGAGUUUGCUUCAUUUUUCCUGCUCUGGUCUCUGUAGUUACUGUCGCCAACCCCUUGCCUCCUGGACAGAUCUCCCGUCUCCUGAGAGGUCCCCACCAGAACGUCUUUAUAUGACAACUGCCCUACUGAUUGACUUGGACCUGAGGCAGGUUCUGUUCUGUUCUGAUCUUUUCUCUUAGAUGUCUUCUCAGGCACCUCCUGUGUUACUGAGGGAGCUGGACUAGUAGAUUGUUUUUGACUAGUGUUUGGCUCAUCUGUUGGGUCAGAACCCCUCUGAUCACCAAGGGAUACUUGGGAUUGGUCAACACACUUCUUUGAGUUUGCUUCAUUUGUUAUAUUCUCGUCGGUCUGGUUACUAGAGGUCUUCAGUUCAUUCAGAACUCUAACCUCUGUGUUGCCUUCACCAUCAAGGCUUUUUGAUGGCUCCGUUGACCCGUGUGACGUCCCCUUCAGGUCUUCCUCAUCCAAGAGUUUACUGGCUGGUUGAGUUGGGUCUGAGGCACGUCCUCCUGUGUUCUGAUCAGCUGUCUCGGGUGUGGAUGAGGCCUGUGUGACUGAUGUAGGACUAGGUUGGUUUGGCUCAUUCACUGGUGCGUCUACGUUUGCCUUCGAUGGACCCUUGGCCUGGUCUUCUGGCAGUGUCUGGUGUGGGGAUGGGUUUGGAGAGGCUAUAGGUAUGGUUGGAGGGCCAGUAGGUGUGGCGGUGAUGACAGGAGGGCCAGUAGGUGUGGCAAUGUUGACAGGAGGGCCAGUAGGUGUGGUGGUGUUGACAGGAGGGCCAGCAGGUGUGGUGGUGUUGACAGGAGGGCCAGUAGGUGUGGCAGUGUUGACAGGAGGGCCAGUAGGUGUGGCGGUGUUGACAGGAGGGCCAGUAGGUGUGGCAGUGUUGACAGGAGGGCCAGCAGGUGUGGCGGUGUUGACAGGAGGGCCAGUAGGUGUGGUGGUGUUGACAGGAGGACCAGUAGGUGUGGCAGUGUUGACAGGAGGGCCAGUACGUGUGGCAGUGUUAACAGGAGGGCCAGUAGGUGUAGUGGUGUUGACAGGAGGGUCAUCCACCACUGAAGUAGAGCUCUCACUGACAGACAACUCAUCUUUCUCUUGACGUGUGUCAGUGCUCAGCUCAAUAGCGCUGGAAGAGCCUCCACUCUAUGAACAAUGUAUACAAAAAUGAGGCCUUUUAACACAUAAAUCAUUAAGGAUCAGCAUUUCUGAUUCAUAAGCCCUGCCCAUUAAAGCGUUCCCAUUCCAUGCUAAUUUCACUGGGUUCCCUUGACUUAAAACCCACGUCUGGUCACAUCCUAACGUCACAAAUUGAAAGUGUGACUGGUUCUGUUUAAACAAAUAUAUAAUUGUAAAUCUCUUAUC
This is a long non-coding RNA of Oncorhynchus tshawytscha (Chinook salmon), 1399 nucleotides long. The record is from Ensembl. NCBI's taxonomy places the organism in Eukaryota, Metazoa, Chordata, Actinopteri, Salmoniformes, Salmonidae.